UGGACUACUAGCAAUAGCUUAAAACUCAAAGGACUUGGCGGUGCUUUAUAUCCCUCUAAAGGAGCCUGUUCUAUAAUCGAUAAACCCCGAUAAACCUCACCACCUUUCGCUAAUUCAGUCUAUAUACCGCCAUCUUCAGCAAA
This 143-nucleotide ribosomal RNA is filed under the name Canis lupus (wolf). RNAcentral describes it as "partial 12S ribosomal RNA". Lineage: Eukaryota; Metazoa; Chordata; Mammalia; Carnivora; Canidae. The record is from RNAcentral.